This 71-nucleotide transfer RNA is filed under the name Gemmatimonadota bacterium. Its description in RNAcentral is "Gemmatimonadetes bacterium (groundwater metagenome) tRNA-Gln". It matches the Rfam family "tRNA". From Rfam's summary of the family: Transfer RNA (tRNA) molecules are approximately 80 nucleotides in length. Their secondary structure includes four short double-helical elements and three loops (D, anti-codon, and T loops). Lineage: Bacteria; Pseudomonadati; Gemmatimonadota. The record is from RNAcentral.
UGCCCCAUCGUCCAAUGGCAGGACAGCGGUCUUUGGAUCCGCUAAUGGUGGUUCGAAUCCACCUGGGGCAA